UAUAUUUUGUUGGUUUUAGGACCGCCGUAAUGAUUAAUAGGGACAGUCGGGGGCAUCAGUAUUCAAUUGUCAGAGGUGAAAUUCUUGGAUUUAUUGAAGACUAAUACUGCGAAAGCAUUUGCCAAGGAUGUUUUCAUUAAUCAGGAACGAAAGUUAGGGGAUCGAAGACGAUCAGAUACCGUCGUAGUCUUAACCAUAAACUAUGCCGACUAGGGAUCGGACGGUGUUAUUUUUUGACCCGUUCGGCACCUUACGAGAAAUCAAAGUGCUUGGGCUCCAGGGGGAGUAUGGUCGCAAGGCUGAAACUUAAAGAAAUGACGUAAGGGCACCACCAGGAGGUGGAGCCUGCGGCUUAAUUGACUCAACACGGGAAACUCACCAGUCCAGACCCCCC
Molecule: ribosomal RNA, 394 nt
Filed under: Trichoderma harzianum
Lineage: Eukaryota; Fungi; Ascomycota; Sordariomycetes; Hypocreales; Hypocreaceae
Description: SSU rRNA
Rfam family: Eukaryotic small subunit ribosomal RNA
Source: RNAcentral